RNAcentral lists this transfer RNA (65 nucleotides) under Nematocarcinus gracilis. RNAcentral describes it as "tRNA-Thr". It matches the Rfam family "tRNA". Rfam says of the family: Transfer RNA (tRNA) molecules are approximately 80 nucleotides in length. Their secondary structure includes four short double-helical elements and three loops (D, anti-codon, and T loops). The record is from RNAcentral. Lineage: Eukaryota; Metazoa; Arthropoda; Malacostraca; Decapoda; Nematocarcinidae.
GUUUUGAUAGUUUAAAUAAAACGUCGGUCUUGUAAACCGAAAAUGAAAUGAAUUUUCUCAAAUCA